Molecule: ribosomal RNA, 497 nt
Filed under: uncultured bacterium
Lineage: Bacteria
Description: partial 16S ribosomal RNA
Rfam family: Bacterial small subunit ribosomal RNA
Source: RNAcentral
GAUGAACGCUGGCGGCGUGCCUAAUACAUGCAAGUCGAGCGAACGGACGCGAAUCUUGCUUCUCUGAUGUUAGCGGCGGACGGGUGUGUCACACGUGGAUCCCCUACCUAUCAGACUGGGAUCACUUCGGGAAACCGGCGCUAAUCCCGGAUAAUCUUUUGAUCCGCAUGGUUCAAAAGUGAAAGACGGUCUUGCUGUCACUUCUCGAUGGAUCCGCGCUGCAUUAGCUAGUUGGUAAGUUAACGGCUUACCACGGCAACGAUGCAUAGCCGACCUGAGAGACGGAUCGGCGACAUGGGAGCUGAGACGCGGACAUGAGGACUAAGAGAGGCAGCAGUAGGGAAUCGUCCGCAGUGGUCGAAAGCAUGACGGAGCAACGCCGCGUGUGUGAUGAAGGUCUUCGGAUCGUAAAACUCUGUUAUGAGGUAAGAACAGAUGUGUAAGUAACUGUGCACAGCGUGACGGUACCUAAUCAGAAAGCCACGGCUAACUACGUG